CCUACGGGAGGCAGCAGUGAGGAAUAUUGGUCAAUGGCCGUAAGGCUGAACCAGCCAAGUAGCGUGAGGGAAGACUGCCCUAUGGGUUGUAAACCCCUUUUAGGCGGGGAUAAAGGUGUCCAUGUGCGUAUGUUUGCAGGUACCGCAUGAAUAAGGACCGGCUAAUUCCGUGCGAGCAGCCGCGGUAAUACGGAAGGUUCGGGCGUUAUCCGGAUUUAUUGGGUUUAAAGGGAGCGUAGGCCGGUCUUUAAGCGUGCCGGGAAAUUUUGUGGCUCAACCAUGAGAGUGCGGCGGGAACUAGUGACCUUGAGUGCGCGGAAGGCAGGCGGAAUUCGUGGUGUAGCGGUGAAAUGCUUAGAUAUCACGAAGAACCCCGAUUGCGAAGGCAGCCUGCUGCAGCGUUACUGACGCUGAAGCUCGAAAGCGCGGGUAGCGAACAGGAUUAGAUACCCGAGUAGUC
This 460-nucleotide ribosomal RNA is filed under the name uncultured bacterium. RNAcentral's name for it is "partial 16S ribosomal RNA". It matches the Rfam family "Bacterial small subunit ribosomal RNA", at positions 338 to 795 of the family's 1533-position model. The record is from RNAcentral.